CUCCUACGGGAGGCAGCAGUGGGGAAUAUUGCGCAAUGGGGGCAACCCUGAUGCAGCAACGCCGCGUGAAGGANGAAGUUUUCGGUAUGUAAAGNUCUUUCAUCAAGGAAGAAAAUGACGGUACUUAAUAAAUAAGCNCCGGCUAAAUACGUGCCAGCAGCCCGCGGUAAUACGUAUGGAGCAAGCGUUAUCCGGAUUUUACUGGGUGUAAAAGGNUGCGUAGACGGGCUGUGNAAAGUCUGAUGUUAAAAUCCAUGGGCCCAACCCAUGGACUGCAUUUGAAACUAUNUAGCUUGAGUGUAGUAGAGGCAAGCGGAAUUCCCAGUGUAGCGGUGAAAUGCGUAGAUAUUAGGAGGAACACCAGUGGCGAAGGCGGCNUACUGGNCNUUCACUGACGUUGAGGCUCGAAAGCGUGGGUAGCAAACAGGAUUAGAUACCCUGGUAGUCCACGCUGUAAACGAUGAUUACUAGGUG
Molecule: ribosomal RNA, 474 nt
Filed under: uncultured bacterium
Lineage: Bacteria
Description: bacterial SSU rRNA
Rfam family: Bacterial small subunit ribosomal RNA
Source: RNAcentral